GACGAACGCUGGCGGCGUGCCUAAUACAUGCAAGUUGAGCGCUGAAGGCUGGUACUUGUGCCAACUGGAUGAGCAGCGGACGGGUGAGUAACGCGUGGGGAAUCUGCCUUUGAGCGGGGGACAACAUUUGGAAACGAAUGCUAAUACCGCAUAAAAACUUUAAACACAAGUUUUAAGUUUGAAAGAUGCAAUUGCAUCACUCAAAGAUGAUCCCGCGUUGUAUUAGCUAGUUGGUGAGGUAAAGGCUCACCAAGGCGAGGAUACAUAGCCGACCUGAGAGGGUGCUCGGCACAGCUGGGACUGGGGGACGGCCCGAAAUCCUGGGAGAGGCAGCCGGAGGGGACUUUUGGGAGUGGCAGAAAGGCUGAACGAGCGACGCCGCGUGAGUGAAGGAGGUUGUCAGAUCGUGAAAGUCUGGUGGUAGAGAAGAUCGUUGGGGAGAGUGGAAAGCUAAUCAAGUGACGGUACCUACACAGAAAGCGACGGCUAACUACGUG
Molecule: ribosomal RNA, 497 nt
Filed under: uncultured bacterium
Lineage: Bacteria
Description: partial 16S ribosomal RNA
Rfam family: Bacterial small subunit ribosomal RNA
Source: RNAcentral